RNAcentral lists this ribosomal RNA (253 nucleotides) under uncultured bacterium. RNAcentral describes it as "partial 16S ribosomal RNA". It matches the Rfam family "Bacterial small subunit ribosomal RNA", at positions 524 to 776 of the family's 1533-position model. The record is from RNAcentral.
UACGUAGGGUGCGAGCGUUGUCCGGAAUUAUUGGGCGUAAAGAGCUCGUAGGCGGUUUGUUGCGUCGGCUGUGAAAACCUGAGGCUCAACCUCAGGCCUGCAGUCGAUACGAGCAGACUAGAGUGUUGCAGGGGAGACUGGAAUUCCUGGUGUAGCGGUGAAAUGCGCAGAUAUCAGGGGGAACACCGGUGGCGAAGGCGGGUCUCUGGGCAACAACUGACGCUGAGGAGCGAAAGCGUGGGGAGCGAACAGG